UAAGCCUUUUCCGUCAAUCCUUAAUUUAUUCGUUGGCUCCUUGUCAAACACGCACAGAGCAUCUGCCUGUGUCGGGCGUACCGUACAACGAAGGUCGCGCGGAGGGGCUGUCGGUGGCCACGAACCCGAGGCUCCGGCACCGCAACUGUCACACGGCCACCUGUGGCUCGCUGGCUUGCCCCCUCCGCCUACGCCGGGAGGAUGUGGAGGACACCAGUUCCUCUUCCUCCCGCCUCCAUUAUUUUCCCAGGCCCAGGCGAGACAUCUUCCUGGAAAACCUGCUGGGAAAGGGGAAAUCCCGGCAGGGAUCUCUUUUCGGGAAAAGUCAUGCAAACAAAUGAAAACAUAUGCCAACCUG
This is a long non-coding RNA of Myotis brandtii (Brandt's bat), 358 nucleotides long. RefSeq lists it as uncharacterized. The record is from RefSeq and is a predicted model, not a curated record. The transcript has 2 exons. NCBI's taxonomy places the organism in Eukaryota, Metazoa, Chordata, Mammalia, Chiroptera, Vespertilionidae.